CCUACGGGUGGCAGCAGUGGGGAAUAUUGCACAAUGGGGGGAACCCUGAUGCAGCGACGCCGCGUGAGUGAAGAAGUAUUUCGGUAUGUAAAGCUCUAUCAGCAGGGAAGAAAAAAGACGGUACCUGACUAAGAAGCCCCGGCUAACUACGUGCCAGCAGCCGCGGUAAUACGUAGGGGGCAAGCGUUAUCCGGAAUUACUGGGUGUAAAGGGUGCGUAGGUGGCAUGGUAAGUCCGAAGUGAAAGCCCGGGGCUUAACCCCGGAACAGCUUUUGAAACUGUCAUGCUGGAGUGAAGGAGAGGUAAGCGGAAUUCCUAGUGUAGCGGUGAAAUGCGUAGAUAUUAGGAGGAACACCAGUGGCGAAGGCGGCUUACUGGACUGUCACUGACGCUGAUGCACGAAAGCGUGGGGAGCAAACAGGAUUAGAUACCCGAGUAGUC
Molecule: ribosomal RNA, 441 nt
Filed under: uncultured bacterium
Lineage: Bacteria
Description: partial 16S ribosomal RNA
Rfam family: Bacterial small subunit ribosomal RNA
Source: RNAcentral